Molecule: non-coding RNA, 2404 nt
Organism: Cinara cedri
Lineage: Eukaryota; Metazoa; Arthropoda; Insecta; Hemiptera; Aphididae
Source: the annotation of a GenBank genome assembly
AAUGAGCAAAAUCAUUUGCUUAUAAUGAUUUAUCCAAUGAAGCUUUUACUUCCUGUAAUACUUGUGCAAAAGUAAGUUUAAAAUAUUUAAAAUAUUAAAUUAAUAAUGUAAUUAAUUUGAUAUGUAGUUAUUAAUACUUAUACAUUUUUAAAUUAAUAAAUAAGAGUGUAUAAAUAUAAUAAUAUGAUAAACGUUUUUCUUUCGUAUACAAUUAUAUUAAUAUAAAUUAAUUUAAUGUAAAUUGAAUAAGUUGUUCUAAGUGAAAUCCAUUUCACAGUUAUUAAACUGACAAUUGAAUACUCGUAUAAUCUAUAAGUAUAGAAGUUUAAGGAAGUUCUUUUAAUUACAGAACAAAUAGUCUGUAAGCAGAAUAUUGUUUAAGACAAUCAGACAGUCAAACAAAAACCAAAGAAUUAAUAAAACAAUGAGAUUAAAAUAGAAAUAUAAAGGAAGAUUUUAAAAAUAUUAACAUUAUUUCAAAUGUCUGAUAAAGCAUUUUUAAAGUUUAUGUUAGAUUAAAAUUUGCAAAAACCUACUAUCUGAUUUAAUAGAUGAACAUGUUUUAAACAUUUGUAAACAACUUAAUAAAAACCAUUUAAGACAAAAUUUUUUUUUUAAAUAUUAUGUAUAUGUAAUAGAUUCAAUUUCGAAAAACACUAAAAUAUAUUUGAUACUGUGAACUUAUCAGAGUAGGUUAUAUAAAAGUUAAAUAUAUCAUACAAUUAUGGAAUAUAACUAGUAACAUAAUGUUUAUUCAUUAUAGAAUCAAUAAGAAUAAAGUAAAUACAUUUACAAAUUAUUGAUCAAAUAUGUCCAACGAAGUUAUUAGAUAGUAAUAUAGAAAUUAUAUGAAGAUGAGCUAAACCUGUGAAAAAUUGUCUUUCAUGUAAGUUUAUUGUCUAUUACACCAUUAAAAAUUCACCAAAUGUAUAAACUUUUAUAAUUUAUAGCUAAUAAUGAUCUAGUGUCAAAUAUAAUUACUGAUCAUGUAUUGCAAUCAUUAUGGAAUUAUAGAACAUAAUGACAUACCUAUGAUACCAUUUACUAGUUGUAAAUAAUUGAUGUUUGAAAUUAAAUAUUCAUUUUUUUCUUGCACAUUUUCAUACAAUUGUAAUGAUUUAUUUUUAUUUUACAGUUUACCAAAAAUUGGAUGGAAGUGUACAAUGUGUGAAGAUAUUUUUAAAUAUCCUAUGGUUUAAAUGAAAAUUCAUUUCAAGAGGAUUUUUCUGUAAGUAAAAUGGAGAGGAAAAUUAUUGAGUGUAUAUUAAUGUAGUUAUAUUGUUGAAAUAACUAUAGUAAAUAUUAUAGUGAUAGUCCGGGUUCAAAUCAAUUAAGAUAUAAAAUAUUCGAUUUAAUAUUUCAGGAUAACUUGAAUAUAGGUUAUAUCAUUGACUUUAGGAGCCUGUAUAUAAUAAUAAUUCCUCUAAUCCUAUAUCAUCAAAUGAUAUAAUAAGAUUUUGGGUUCUGAUAAAUCAUAGACAUCAAUCAAUGAUUUAAUUAAAACCAAGAAUAAUAUUUUCAAAUGUAAAAUCUUAUUGCCACAGUUAUUUUAAUUUAUUUGACAAUAAAAUAGAAUGUGUAAACGAUUUAUUGGAAGAAUUAUUAUAAUAUAUAUUAUAAUAAUAAAAAAAAAAAUAAUAAUAAUAAUAAUAUGAUAAAACAGCUUGGAGUGAUACAGGUUGUUUUUUCUGAUUUGCUAUAUUAUGACUUUGUUGUAAUAUUUCAAUUAAAACCAGUCAUAAAUACACAACCUUUAUAAUGGGUGUUUUCAUAUUUUCAGUUUCAUUUGUAUUUUACAUUAUAUGUUUAAAUUAUAAUAACUUAAUCUAAUCAAAUGUUUAGUUUUGUGGUUUUGUCUUGUUUUUUUUUUUUUUUAAAUUUAUUUGUUGCAAAAUGUUAUAUUACAUUUUUAAAAUAUUUAUCUAUUUCUGGCAGAUCAUCGCAGGAUUUUCUUAAUGUAAAUUAGCAUACAAUGAAACUUCAGUAUCAAAUAUAAUAACUGAUCUUGUAUCUGUAAUGCGAAACAUUAUUUGACAAAUAUUUUCAAAAUUUAAAUAAAAUCAAUACAAUUUGGUAAGGUCACUGUUUUCUUUAUCUUUUAAAAUUUGCAUAAAAAAUAAUAAUAAAAAUAAAUGUCUAUUCUGAUAGAAAACAAAACCGGUAUCCAAUUCCCUUAACAAAUUGUAUGCACUGUAGUUGUUGUGUUGCAUAAAUUUUAAAUAAUAUUAAAAUAUCUUAAUAAUUUGUUUAGGUGUAAGGCAAUUCUAUGCAGUUUUAUACCAUUUUUCAAAGCAUAAUCAAUGGAGAUGCAGAUGGUAAUAGAUUAAAUUUAAAGGAGGUAUCAACAAUUUAAUAAGGAAUAGACUAUCCAAUUCAAAACAACAGGCAUGGAUAAUAACUGCAG